ACUCCUACGGAAGGCAGCAGUGGGGAAUUUUGGACAAUGGGGCAACCCUGAUCCAGCCAUGCCGCGUGAGUGAAGAAGGCCUUCGGGUUGUAAAGCUCUUUCGGCCGGGAAGAAAUCGCAUUCUCUAAUAUAGGAUGUGGAUGACGGUACCGGACUAAGAAGCACCGGCUAACUACGUGCCAGCAGCCGCGGUAAU
RNAcentral lists this ribosomal RNA (196 nucleotides) under uncultured bacterium. RNAcentral's name for it is "partial 16S ribosomal RNA". It matches the Rfam family "Bacterial small subunit ribosomal RNA", at positions 335 to 524 of the family's 1533-position model. The record is from RNAcentral.